CCCUACGGGGGCAGCAGUGAGGAAUAUUGGUCAAUGGGCUUACGCCUGAACCAGCCAAGUCGCGUGAGGGAAGAAUGCCCUAUGGGUUGUAAACCUCUUUUGUCAGGGAGCAAUUUGCGCUACGUGUAGCGUUAUCGAGAGUACCUGAAGAAAAAGCCUCGGCUAACUCCGUGCCAGCAGCGGCGGUAAUACGGAGGAUGUGAGCGUUAUCCGGUUUUAUUGGGUUUAAUGGGUGCGUAGGCGGAAUGCCAAGUCAGCGGUAAAAUCGCGGGGCUCAACCUCGCUCCGCCGUUGAAACUGGCGUGCUGGAGUGGGCGAGAAGUAGGCGGAAUGCGUGGUGUAGCGGUGAAAUGCAUAGAUAUCACGCAGAACUCCGAUUGCGAAGGCAGCAUACCGGAGCCCAACUGACGCUGAAGCACGAAAGCGUGGGUAUCGAACAGGAUUAGAUACCCCUGUAGUC
RNAcentral lists this ribosomal RNA (460 nucleotides) under uncultured bacterium. RNAcentral's name for it is "partial 16S ribosomal RNA". It matches the Rfam family "Bacterial small subunit ribosomal RNA", at positions 335 to 795 of the family's 1533-position model. The record is from RNAcentral.